This 301-nucleotide ribosomal RNA is filed under the name uncultured bacterium. RNAcentral describes it as "partial 16S ribosomal RNA". It matches the Rfam family "Bacterial small subunit ribosomal RNA", at positions 509 to 808 of the family's 1533-position model. The record is from RNAcentral.
CAGUACCGCGGGAAUACGUAGGGUGCAAGCGUUAAUCGGAAUUACUGGGCGUAAAGCGUGCGCAGGCGGUUAUAUAAGACAGAUGUGAAAUCCCCGGGCUCAACCUGGGAACUGCAUUUGUGACUGUAUGGCUAGAGUGUGUCAGAGGGGGGUAGAAUUCCACGUGUAGCAGUGAAAUGCGUAGAUAUGUGGAGGAAUACCGAUGGCGAAGGCAGCCCCCUGGGAUAACACUGACGCUCAUGCACGAAAGCGUGGGGAGCAAACAGGAUUAGAUACCCCGGUAGUCCCUGUCUCUUAUACC